Non-coding RNA from Cajanus cajan (pigeon pea), 407 nucleotides. The record is from RefSeq and is a predicted model, not a curated record. NCBI's taxonomy places the organism in Eukaryota, Viridiplantae, Streptophyta, Magnoliopsida, Fabales, Fabaceae.
UUAUAUGAUGGAAAUGAGGAAAAACAUGGAGGUUAUUUCACUUGUAAAUCUAAUGUGUGUGAGAAGGUCAAGCUUGCUGUUGGUGAUUGUAGUGGAAAGGAUAGUGAACCGGGUCCUUUAAUCUUCGAAGACCAACCAUCAUCACCAAGAUCUCCCCUGUCACCCAAAAAACCAUGGCAAGCAAGAGAAAAUAAUCGUGAAUGUCUGUAAACAUACACGAUUCCUAUAUUAGAGAACAAACUGGAAAUGUGUACAAGAACGUGAAGAGGAAGAUUGAGAGAGGUGUUACUUUCCCAACUUGCUUAUCUGUAAACAAUGUGGUCUGCCAUUUCUCUCCACUAGCUAGUGACGAGACAGUGUUGGAAGAAGGUGAUAUAUUGAAAAUGUAAGAUUUUUGAGCAUGGUUU